RNAcentral lists this long non-coding RNA (1218 nucleotides) under Ovis aries (sheep). Its description in RNAcentral is "lncRNA (ENSOARG00000025890.1)". The record is from RNAcentral. Lineage: Eukaryota; Metazoa; Chordata; Mammalia; Artiodactyla; Bovidae.
ACCAAACAGCCCCCUACCCCCGCCUGGGUGGGGCCGACCCCGACCCCUGGCCGGUGCCCCACCCCCCCCACUCACAGGCUGAGUCCCAUACAGCCAGUACUGCUCCAACUCAGUGGUUCCUGCUGGGGUCCCUGGGGAGGAGGGGCUGGUCUGAGUGGUGGCCGCUGGGCUCCUGAUCCAGUGCAAGGGAAGGAGGCUCAGAGGAUGGCAGUAGGGGAUCACAAAGGUUUCCGAGGAGCAAGUUGGGGAUGCCCUGUCUGUGGGUGGUCUCUGAGUUCCCACAGAUAGGUGGGGAGGCCCAUGGAGUUGCCCCCCCCCACCACCACCACCAUCCUGAGUCUCUGGGAAUGAAGGGUCCUGGGUGCCCCAGCCUGUGGCCAGGAAAAGGGAAGGUUCCCUGGCCUGGGCCCAGGACAGAGGGGGACCGUGCCUCUGAGAGUUCUGCCCUCCUGGCCUUGCUGGAGGGGGGCUCAAGCCCUGGACAUCCGGCCCUGGGACCCAGGCUCCCAGGACUAGACCUGGGGUGGGAGGCUCCCGGGUCCCAGUCACAGCCCGAGUGAGGGGGCCCGGCAUGUAGGGGUCCCCUCUCCGGGUCACGAAUGGACUAUGUUGCUGCUGAGGUGGGCAGGCCUGGACAGCUUCUCGAGGAGUGGGCAUUUGCAGGGGCUCCUCUUCCUGCUCACAGCAGAAGGAAGAGGUGGCCAGAAGCCGCCCCGACCCCGCUGGCCCUCGUCUCCCUCAUGUGUUCGGUUGCACCCGUGGGGAGGACUGCUGCUCCCUGCUACUGACUCGGGGUCUCGGGACUGGGGAGGUGCCUCGGAGCAACCCAUUUAUUUCAGCAGCGUCAUUCCCAAAGGGAAAGGGCAUAAGCAUCGAUUAUUUAUUCAGCGUGAGAGGGAGGCAGUGGUGGCAGGAAGGCUGGUGGCUGCUGGCAGGGAGGGGCUGGGCACAAGGGCAGCAAAGAUGGGGGCCGUCAGGUCAGGAGCGGGGGCCCAGGAGGGUGGAAGUCACCCUCUGCCUUCUUCUGAACAGGGACCUAUGGACCAAGGGACAGGCCUGGCCGCGAGAGGACAGGAUGUCGGAAUCCUCAACCUGCUUUGGGGAUAUGGGGAGCUUCAGACCACACCCCAUCCUGUAGCCUGCUCUGAGGGUGACCUAGACACUCGACGCUGCCAACAGCACCCGCCCCGUCUCCUCUGGGGCACAGCCUGGGUUUGA